Salvia hispanica is the source of this 572-nucleotide long non-coding RNA. RefSeq lists it as uncharacterized. Lineage: Eukaryota; Viridiplantae; Streptophyta; Magnoliopsida; Lamiales; Lamiaceae. The record is from RefSeq and is a predicted model, not a curated record.
CAUAUUCAUACUAUCACAGGAUUCAAAAUCUCAAAAUGGCAAAAUUUUUGAAGUUGAUUUUAUUCAUCGUCGUCCUUGUUGCUCUUGCGUCAGAUUGUUUAGUUCAUGGAGCGGUGUGCAGAAAAUAUCAUCCCGCACAAUGUGACCCAAACAAUCCUGAAAUUUGUCGCGGAGAAUGCAUGAAAGUAGUUGAACCAGCACCUUAUCAAUGGAGCCAUUGCAAAAUAGAUAAAGAAAACAAUCCUUAUUGUGAUUGUGCAUUUGUUUGUGGUGCCGGAGUGCGGGCUAGUAGUAGCCCCAGCCCGGAACAAGGUGAUGCAACUAUAUCCGAAAAUAAUUAGCUUCUUAAAGUAGUAUUGAGUUGCAAUUUACAAAUUUAUACCUUUCUCUCUCCAACUAAUAGACUCGCGUUUCUCUAUUUUGUAUUUUUACCAUUGCAAUUCUUUUACUGUACUCACUCUGUUUCUUUUUUAUAGAUCUUAGGUAGUUUAUAUUCUGUAGUUCUAUCAUUGUAAUUUGAUCUACUUGUUCUGUUUCUUUAUAUAUAUACAAUCUAUUUUUGUUGUGUGUUA